Molecule: long non-coding RNA, 679 nt
Organism: Paramisgurnus dabryanus
Lineage: Eukaryota; Metazoa; Chordata; Actinopteri; Cypriniformes; Cobitidae
Source: RefSeq, a predicted model, not a curated record
UUUUACAUUGUAUUGAGACCUCUAUGUCUUCCUACAGAUGGUGUUGGGGAACUCGCCCUGAGGCAGCUGCCAGCCUUGCUUCCACCGACGACUUACAAAGUUGGCCGGGGCCGUGGUGUGAAAGUAGUUCGCCACACCAUUCAGGAAGGCAGCUUGGCCUUCAUUGACCAUAAGCCUCCUGGAAUAAACAUGGUGGAGUACCUUCAUGAGGCCAAGGAAUCCAAGCCAUACCCCCACAUCCUGACACUGGGAAAUGAUCAGAGUGCAUUUCAGGCCUUCGUCAUAAUAGCUGGACAGGCCCUGGAACAAGAAACACUGCUUCAGGCCAUUGAUGUCUGCUUUAAGGCAUUCUUUGUCUUUGAUAUUAAAUACCCAAAGCAGUGUGAACAUGUUUGGGAAUUCAUACAGACUGUUAUAUAUGAAAUCCCAGGAGGGGAGUCUAAAAUCGUUAAGUUUAUUCAAACUAGAAUACUUGCUUGCAAGUAGAGCUAGUGGCUCUUAAAAGCAGCAUUUAGUAUGUGGAAUUAAUUGUUCACUAUAGAGCUGCUGACUGUUGGCCUGCUGAAUGUUAGUUAAAUUGAAAUUGUUGUUUUGCAAUGAAUAUUUUCAACCCUUAGUGAACUGCGCCAGUUUCACUAUAUUGUCAAUAUUAAUGUAAUAAAUGUUUUCAAAGAUUCAA